CCUCAGACUUUAAUUAUUAUCAGUUCCUCUAUGUUAAACAGAUGGGUUUACAUAAAAGCUUUGAGUAUAGGGUUUUUGUUUUUUUUUUACCAAGCAGAAUUGAUCAUUGUUGAGCCUUUUCUCCCCAUAGUGACUCAAAAGUUACGGAAUAUGUAUCAUGCAGAAUACUGUGCUAAAUACAGUAAAAAGAGGUGACAUGAUCAGCAAAGUGGAAAAAAUAGAAUAUAAGCCCUUUCCUUAAGAAGAUUAUUCAUUUGUUUUGUUUCUUUGCUUGAAUUAAGUCAGGUCUAAAAUGUGCUGGGAUUGGAGAUAAAGAGAAAACUAAGAGACUAAUCAAGUCCUCUGGUUUCCAAGGAUUCACAGCUAACUCAACAUCUGUUUACUGAUCUGACUAGGAAUAGAAUAUAGUAAGGCAGAUUAAAGCUGAAGGACCACAGACAGGUUGGGUAACAUAGUGGUUAAAAUCUUUGAGCCAAAUGGAGUCAAGGUACAACUUCAG
This 499-nucleotide long non-coding RNA is filed under the name Bos taurus (domestic cattle). RNAcentral's name for it is "long non-coding RNA NONBTAT018292". The record is from RNAcentral. Lineage: Eukaryota; Metazoa; Chordata; Mammalia; Artiodactyla; Bovidae.